AACCUUGCAAGAAAACUU
This 18-nucleotide small nuclear RNA is filed under the name Arabidopsis thaliana (thale cress). RNAcentral describes it as "snRNA_12470". The record is from RNAcentral. Lineage: Eukaryota; Viridiplantae; Streptophyta; Magnoliopsida; Brassicales; Brassicaceae.